AUACGUAGGGGGCGAGCGUUGUCCGGAAUGAUUGGGCGUAAAGGGCGCGUAGGCGGCGCGGUAAGUCUGGAGUGAAAGUCCUGCUUUCAAGGUGGGAAUUGCUUUGGAUACUGCCGCGCUUGAGUGCAGGAGAGGUUAUCGGAAUUCCCGGUGUAGCGGUGAAAUGCGUAGAGAUCGGGAGGAACACCAGUGGCGAAGGCGGGUAACUGGACUGCAACUGACGCUGAGGCGCGAAAGUGUGGGGAGCAAACAGGAUUAGAUACCCUGGUAGUCCACACUGUAAACGAUGAAUGCUAGGUGUAAGAGGUAUCGACCCCUUUUGUGCCGGAGUCAACACAAUAAGCAUUCCGCCUUGGGAGUACGGCCGCAAGGUUGAAACUCAAAUGAAUUGACGGGG
This 397-nucleotide ribosomal RNA is filed under the name uncultured bacterium. RNAcentral's name for it is "partial 16S ribosomal RNA". It matches the Rfam family "Bacterial small subunit ribosomal RNA", at positions 523 to 918 of the family's 1533-position model. The record is from RNAcentral.